Long non-coding RNA from Raphanus sativus (radish), 896 nucleotides. RefSeq lists it as uncharacterized. The transcript is spliced from 3 exons. The record is from RefSeq and is a predicted model, not a curated record. Lineage: Eukaryota; Viridiplantae; Streptophyta; Magnoliopsida; Brassicales; Brassicaceae.
UAGAAGUCCACCUGACAUUAGGUUUCUUCCUGCUUCUUCAUCAUACGUCUGCGAUUUCCCCGAUGAAAAUUCACAGAAACUUAAAGCGCCGUUUGAUCUCCAUAACUUUUUGAAUAUGGCAACCCAUCACGGAGAAACGAACUUGCGGAUCAACUCAUGGGACUGUUAGUACCACUUUGUCUGCCGUACAAGCGAUACAAAAGGUAUAAAGUACUGAAAAUUGUACAAAUGGUGGACUCAGAGGUGAAAAUUUGUUUUAGUGUUAGGCUCUUCAUAUUAUAAAACCUGAUCAGAGAGUUUGUUUAGCAAGUGAUUUGACGGGCAGGUCAUCAGAUGUGUUCCAAACCAAAAUGGAAACCAUGUGAUCAAGAAACGCAUCCAUAAUAUCCCAAUAGACUGAGUUGGAUUCAUGUUUAGCUGCAUUCCGAUCCUUGGUCAAGUUUCCACACUCUCUAUCCAUCCUUAUGGCAGCCAUGACAUACAGUAUAAAGGCAUCUGUAGCGUUUUACAAAUGAGCAUCAGUUGCAGUUCAUUACCGAGGAGAUGCUGGAAUCAGUAUGCAUCCUUUGCAAGGACCAGUAUGGAAUAAACAAAAUCCCACGGUUUGUUAACCACUCAACACACCAAUGUUCCUAUUUGGCGUCAUGUCUUGGAUAAAUUUAAAGCUUUGUGCUAAGAGUAUUGAGAAACUCUUUUCGAUUUAGGUGUGUUGAGAGAUCAGUUUAAAUUAUACAGCUUUCAUGUUCAUCUUCCUGAACUGUAUGUGGUUGUUGUUUUGUACGGAGAUUAUUUAUGUUUCUGGUUGAAUAAAAUGUUGUGCUGGAGCCACAUAUCGAAGUAGAAGACAUGAUCGGUCAUGCUAGGACAGGGAUAAAAAAAAGACUCUUGCUUUUGGA